GAUGAACGCUGGCGGCGUGCUUAACACAUGCAAGUCGAACGAAGCACCUUGAUUUGAUUCUUCGGAUGAAGAUCUUGGCGACUGAGUGGCGGACGGGUGAGUAACGCGUGGGUAACCUGCCUCAUACAGGGGGAUAACAGUUAGAAAUGACUGCUAAUACCGCAUAAGACCACAGCACCGCAUGGUGCAGGGGUAAAAACUCCGGUGGUAUGAGAUGGACCCGCGUCUGAUUAGGUAGUUGGUGGGGUAACGGCCUACCAAGCCGACGAUCAGUAGCCGACCUGAGAGGGUGACCGGCCACAUUGGGACUGAGACACGGCCCAGACUCCUACGGGAGGCAGCAGUGGGGGAUAUUGCACAAUGGAGGAAACUCUGAUGCAGCGACGCCGCGUGAGUGAAGAAGUAUUUCGGUAUGUAAAGCUCUAUCAGCAGGGAAGAAAAUGACGGUACCUGACUAAGAAGCCCCGGCUAACUACGUGCCAGCAGCCGCGGUAAUACGUAGGGGGCAAGCGUUAUCCGGAUUUACUGGGUGUAAAGGGAGCGUAGACGGCGACGCAAGUCUGAAGUGAAAUACCCGGGCUCAACCUGGGAACUGCUUUGGAAACUGUGUUGCUAGAGUGCUGGAGAGGUAAGCGGAAUUCCUAGUGUAGCGGUGAAAUGCGUAGAUAUUAGGAAGAACACCAGUGGCGAAGGCGGCUUACUGGACAGUAACUGACGUUGAGGCUCGAAAGCGUGGGGAGCAAACAGG
RNAcentral lists this ribosomal RNA (748 nucleotides) under uncultured bacterium. RNAcentral's name for it is "bacterial SSU rRNA". It matches the Rfam family "Bacterial small subunit ribosomal RNA", at positions 28 to 776 of the family's 1533-position model. The record is from RNAcentral.